RNAcentral lists this ribosomal RNA (440 nucleotides) under uncultured bacterium. RNAcentral's name for it is "partial 16S ribosomal RNA". It matches the Rfam family "Bacterial small subunit ribosomal RNA", at positions 338 to 795 of the family's 1533-position model. The record is from RNAcentral.
CCUACGGGUGGCAGCAGUGGGGGAUAUUGCACAAUGGGGGGAACCCUGAUGCAGCGACGCCGCGUGGGUGAAGAAGCGCCUCGGCGCGUAAAGCCCUGUCAGCAGGGAAGAAAAUGACGGUACCUGAAGAAGAAGCCCCGGCUAACUACGGGCCAGCAGCCGCGGUAAUACGUAGGGGGCAAGCGUUAUCCGGAUUGACUGGGGGGAAAGGGGGCGCAGACGGCGAUGCAAGCCAGGGGUGAAAGCCCGGGGCCCAACCCCGGGACUGCCAUUGAAACUGCGUGGCUGGAGUGCAGGAGGGGCAGGCGGAAUGCCUGGUGUAGCGGUGAAAUGCGUAGAUAUCAGGAGGAACCCCGGUGGCGAAGGCGGCCUGCUGGAUUCCGACUGACGUUGAGGCACGAAAGCGUGGGGAGCGAACAGGAUUAGAUACCCGGGUAGUC